Molecule: long non-coding RNA, 4332 nt
Organism: Mobula hypostoma (lesser devil ray)
Lineage: Eukaryota; Metazoa; Chordata; Chondrichthyes; Myliobatiformes; Myliobatidae
Exons: 9
Source: RefSeq, a predicted model, not a curated record
AAUCUCUCUCUCUCUCUCUCUCUCUCGCUCUUCCCUCCCCCUCCCCUCUCUCUUUCUCUAAAUAAAUUCUUAGCCAUGGUUUAUGUUUAGUGAAAAGGUGAAACGAAUAAGAUUAGAGAGGACAAAGGGGAAAAUCUGUAAGUGUAUCAUCGGGGUUUCUCCCUCCUCAGAGUGGGACGGAGCGGACACUGGAAGGGAGGCGGCCUCUCUUCUUGCAACUUGCUUGAAGUAAAGUAAGCACCUGUAACCGGCACGAUCGAGAAUCGUCAAAGAACGCCAGCAGGCAAAAUGCCAGGAUUCGCUGCUUCCCACCUUUACAGGAUACUUCCAACAGUAAUAGACGGACAAUUCACAAUGACCAAUUAACCUCCAAACCAGCAUGUCUAUGGAAUGUUGGAGGAAACUGGAGCACCCAGAGGAAACCUACAUAGUCACGAUUCGCUGGAUGAGGAGACAAGGACGUGGUUUAACUUCCCUGCUCGAAUAAAGAGCAAAGCCAACAGGAGCUGACAAUUACAGAUGGCAAUCACCACAUGGAAGAAGCACACCAGGAAAUGCCACCAUUUUAUCACAGCCCAUUAUUCACUCAUUUUCUGACAGGGCUUGGCUUGUGAUUGACAACCAGACGUCUGCAGAGCAUUCACAGUGGAACAAAGAAGUACAACAGAAUCAAUGAGAAGCCACACAUGAAGACUGACAAAUGACCAACGACUCCAAUCCCGAUGCUGUGAUUUGUGUGAUCGAUAUGGAAUGAUUUCAUCAUAGCACAGGAUCAUUAAAUGGUGACAUCCAAUAUGGCUAUGGGACAAGUUACGUGUCAACCAAAAGUAAUCAUCAUUAGACAGGCAAUUACAGUGAAAUGACUGACAAACAUGCCUCAGGAUUUUCCAAGGUUGAGUGAAGAACCAAUGAGUUGGCAUCUGCUGUGGACCUGGUGCUCAGAAAUACAACGGACCCUUCUAGCCCAAUGACCUGCACCGCUCAGCAAAGCACGUACUUAACCGCCUAAUCACAGGAUAAUUUACAAUGACUAAUUAACCUACUAGAUAGAGGAAGGUCCUUCGUUAUUUUCUGGCCAGGAGAGAUCUUCAACCAUGUCCUAUUCCUUCAAUGUCAUCAAGAGGACAUGGCCACAAUCACCAUGAGGAAACAUUGGAGAUGGAUUGGGCACAUGAUGAGAAGAGAAACCAACUCUAUCAUUAAGACAGCAUCUUAUUGGUACACAUUUUUGUACCGCAUAGCCCUCUACUUUUCUAAGCUCCAUGUCAUUUAUAAAAAUCACAAAGAAGAGGGGGUACCGGAACAGAUCGCUGUGGAACACCACUGGUCACCGUCUUCCAUGCAGAAUAUGACCCGUCUACAACUACUCUUUGCCUUCUGUGGGAAGCCAAUUCUGGAUCCACAAAGCAAGGUCUCCUUGGAUCUCAUGCCUCCUUACUUUCUGAAUGAGCCUUGCAUGGGGAACCUUAUCUGAAAUCCAUAUACAUGACAUCUACUGCUCUACCUUCAUCAAUGUGUUAUGUUACAUUCUCAAAGAAUUCAAUCAGGCUCAUAAGACAUGACCAGCUCUUGACAAAUCUAUACUGAGUAUCCUUAAUCAAAUUAUGUUUCUCCAAAUGCUCAUAAAUCCUGCCUCUCAGGAUCUUUUCCAACAACCUGCCCACUACUGUAGUAAGACUUACUGGUCUAUAAUUUCCUGGGUUAUCUCUACUCACUUUCUUGAACAAGGGAACAACAUUUGCAACCUUCCAAUCUUCUGGUACUCUUCCUGUCCCUACUGAUGAUGCAAAGAUCAUUGCCAGAGGCUCAGCAAUCUCCUUCCUCACUCCCCACAGUAUCUUGGGGUACAUCUCGUUCUGUUCCAAUGACUUAUCCAACUUGAUCCUUUCCAAAAGCUCCAGCACAUCCUCUUUCUUAAUGUCUAUACGCUCAAGUGUUUUAGUCUGCUGUAGGUCAUCCCACAAUUGCCAAGGUCCUUUUCCCUGGUGAAUACUGAAGCAACGUAUUUAUUAAGUACCUCCGCUACCUCCUCCGAUACCAUGCACAUGUCUCCACUCUCACUCCUGAUUGGUCCUAUUCUCACACGGCUUCAGUAUUCAAUCAGGCUCAUAAGACAUGACCAGCUCUUGACAAAUCUAUACUGAGUAUCCUUGGUCUUCAUCCACUUGCUCUUCACAUAUUUGUAGAAUGCCUUAAUGGAAUUUUCCUUCAUCCUACUCGCCAAGGUCUUCUCAUGGCCUCUUCUAGCUCUCCUAAUUUCAUUCUUACGCUCCUUCCUGGCAACCUUGUAAUUUUUUAGAGUUCUAACAGUACCUAGUUUGUUGAACCUUUUGUAAGCUUUUCUUUCUUCUUAACUAGAUUUUCUACAUCCUGUGUACACCAAUGGUUCUUUAACCCUACCAUCCUUUCCCUGCCUCAAAGGAACAUACCUUUGCAGAACUCCAUGCAAAUGUUCCCUGAAGAUUUGACAUAUCUCUGCCAUGCAUUUCCCUGAGAAUAAUCAGCUCCCAAUUUAUGCUCCCAAGUUCCUGCUUAAUAGCAUAAUAUUUCCCCGUACCCCAAUUAAAUGUUUUCCCAAAUUGUCUGUUCCUAUCCCUCUCCAGUGCCAUGAUGAAGGAGGUAGAGUUGUGAUUACUAUCUCCAAAAUGCUCUCCCACCGAGAGACCUGACACCUGACCAGGUUCAUUUCCCAAUACCAGAUCAAGUACAGCCUCUCUUCUAGUUGGCUUAUCUACAUAUUGUGUCAGGAAACCUUCCUGAACUCACUUAACAAACUCCACCCCAUCCAAACCCCUUGCUCUAAGGAGAUGCCAGUUAAUAAUAGGAAAGUUAAUAUCAGGAAAGUUAAUAUCACCUAUCACAACUACCCUAUUAUUACUGCACCAUUCCAGAAUCUGCCUCCCUAUCUGCUUCUUGAUGUCCCUGUUACUAUUGGGGGGCGGUGGGGGGGGGAUGUCUAUAAAAACACCAAGAAGAAUUAUUGCUCCCUUCCUGUUUCUGACUUCCACCCACAGUGACUCAGUAGACAGUCCCUCCAUGACUUUCUCCUUCUCUGCAGCCGUGACACUAUCCCUGAUUAGCAGUGUCAUGCCCCUCCUCUUUUGCCUCCCUCCCUGUCUUUUUUGAAACAUCUGAAGCCCAGCAUACUCAGGAGCCAUUCCUGCCUCUGAGAAUUCCAAGUCUCUUAAACCAUCUAGUUGAUUACAACUUUACUCUAUCAUCUGCCUAUCCUUCCUCACAAUCUCCCUACAAACUGUCUCCACUUGUGCACAAACCACCCCAUCCUCUGUCUCUUCACUUCGGUUCCCACCCCCCUGCAAAUCUAGUUUAAACUCUCCCCAAUAGGAUUAGUAAACCUCCCUCCCAGGAUAUUGGCUCCCCUCCAUUUCAGGUACGACCUGUCCCACUUGUACAGGUCACCCCUUCCCUAGAAAAGUUUCCAAUGAUCCAAGAACUUAAAACCCUGCCCCCUGCACCAUCUCCUCAGCCACUCAUUCGUCUGUGCUAUUUUCCUGUUCUGACUAUCUUUAGCUCGUGGCACUGGGAGUAAACCGGAGAGUACCACUUUGGAGGUCCUGCUUUUCUUGCCUCCUUGGACCUCUGAAUGGUGGUGAAAACAUGAGAGAUCAAAGACAACUUGGUGCUGUAUCACAGAGGCAGAAAUAUGGACCCUGAACCACAAUAGAGAAUAUGGCCAAGGACAGACAGAGAUGGAGAACCUUCAUUGCUCCCCUCCAUGUAAUGGGCAGUAAGUCACUAACCUUCUAACUAGUUCGAGUGUGGGAGGGAAUUGGAGUUCCCGCAGGAAUCCCAGCACUGGAAUUAAAUUCCAAACUCCAGAAUGCCCUGAUUUGUAACAGCACCAUACUAACUGUUACACUACUGUAACACGACUGUAACAGCACUGUACUAACUGUUACACUACUGUAGCACAACUGUAACAGAACCGUACUAACUGUUACACUACUGUAACAUGACUGUAACAGCACCGUACUAACCGUUACACUACUGUGACGACUGUAACAGCACCAUACUGUUACUCUACUGUAACAUGACUGUAACAGCACCAUACUGUUACACUACUGUGACAUGACUGUAAUAGCACUGUACUGUUACACUACUGUGACAUGACUGUAACAGCACCGUACUAACUGUUACACUACUGUAACAUGACUGUAACAGCACUGUACUAAUUGUUACACAACUGGCAGACUGUGGUUCUUACCUUGGAACCAAUACACUGACACUGAAAUUGUUUGAUAUUAAUCACAAACCUACCUUGAAGAAAAUGAACUUGAGCCAAAAUGUACUUAUUUUUGUAAAGAUUUAAAA